Long non-coding RNA from Chenopodium quinoa (quinoa), 853 nucleotides. RefSeq lists it as uncharacterized. The transcript has 2 exons. Lineage: Eukaryota; Viridiplantae; Streptophyta; Magnoliopsida; Caryophyllales; Amaranthaceae. The record is from RefSeq and is a predicted model, not a curated record.
CAUUCAAACCCUAUACUGAUUGUUGUGAUUGAGAAAUUGAGUUGGAAGAGGAGGUGUCAAUAUUGGAGCGAAACAAGUCAGCGAGAUUCCGUCAGCCAUUUCCAACAUCCAAAAAGCUUGGAAUUUUUCGUGGAUUCUGACAGCAACAGGAGUAAGAUUCCAAUACAGGUAGAAAAAUGGCCGACAACGAAGAUGGAUUAAUUGAUAUAGUAUUUAGAGUAGGGGGUGCUUUGUUACUAAACAAGUGUCAAAAUCAAAGCAUUUGCUUUGUUGGUGUGGUGGGUUAUGUUAUUGGAGGAGGGAUGUGGUAGUGGAUAAGAUAGAUUUGCAUUAUUUGAGGGUAGCUGCUGUGCAUGGGUUUGUGAACUUUAAUGUCCAUGUCCCACCUAACUACAGACUUUGGUAUAAAGAAAGAGGUAGGACCUUUAACACAGGGAGAAGAGAGUUAGUAAAUGAAGAGGAAGUGAAGGGGCUGCUGGAGACAAUGAAUGGGGAAGGGUAUGUUGAAGUAUUUGUGACUGCUAAUGAAACAUUAAGGCCCAUACAUGAGAUCCAAGCCUAGUCCACUCCAGUAAAGGCUGAGAGAAAGGGGAAGAAAAGUUCAGGUAAGCCUGCUGUAGUUAGGAAGAGCCCAAGAAUUAACAAAAAUGAGCCUAAGGUGAGGGAGGGUGAAGAAUCUCCUAAACCUAGAUCUAGACAGGGGAUAGAAAGGGUUGAAGGGGUUUCUGCUGAGAUUAAGGGGGUUCCUAGUAGAGGGAAGUUGUUGAGUAAGGGGAAACAAAAGGGUAAAGCUAAGCUUGAAAGGGGUUCUGGCAGUGUGAAGGUGUUGGAUAAGGGAAAGGGAAAAAAAAAA